UACCGCAGGAGGGCGAGGAUGUUGGGU
RNAcentral lists this small RNA (27 nucleotides) under Bombyx mori (domestic silkworm). RNAcentral describes it as "ovarian small RNA-20726". The record is from RNAcentral. Lineage: Eukaryota; Metazoa; Arthropoda; Insecta; Lepidoptera; Bombycidae.